This 384-nucleotide ribosomal RNA is filed under the name uncultured eukaryote. RNAcentral's name for it is "SSU rRNA". It matches the Rfam family "Eukaryotic small subunit ribosomal RNA", at positions 587 to 972 of the family's 1831-position model. The record is from RNAcentral.
AGCUCCAAUAGCGUAUAUUAAAGUUGUUGCAGUUAAAAAGCUCGUAGUUGGAUUUCUGGUGGGAGCGGUCGGUGCGGUCCUCAGGAUUGCUACUCGUACCGUCUCUCGCCAUCCUUGGGUCGAUCCUGUCUGGCAUUAAGUUGUCGGGCAGGGGAUGCCCAUCGUUUACUGUGAAAAAAUUAGAGUGUUCAAAGCAGGCUUAUGCCGUUGAAUAUAUUAGCAUGGAAUAAUAAGAUAGGACUUUGGUACUAUUUUGUUGGUUUGCGCACCAAAGUAAUGAUUAAUAGGGACAGUUGGGGGUAUUCGUAUUCCGUUGUCAGAGGUGAAAUUCUUGGAUUUCCGGAAGACGAACUACUGCGAAAGCAUUUACCAAGGAUGUUUUCA